This 460-nucleotide ribosomal RNA is filed under the name uncultured bacterium. RNAcentral's name for it is "partial 16S ribosomal RNA". It matches the Rfam family "Bacterial small subunit ribosomal RNA", at positions 338 to 795 of the family's 1533-position model. The record is from RNAcentral.
CCUACGGGUGGCAGCAGUGAGGAAUAUUGGUCAAUGGACGAGAUUCUGAACCAGCCAAGUAACGUGAAGGCUGACUGCCCUAUGGGUUGUAAACUUCUUUUAUAUGUGAAUAAACUGUUCCACGUGUGGGCUUUUGUAUGUACCAUAUGAAUAAGGAUCGGCUAACUCCGUGCCAGCAGCCGCGGUAAUACGGAGUAUCCGAGCGUUAUCCGGAUUUAUUGGGUUUAAAGGGAGCGUAGGUGGAUUGUUAAGUCAGUUGUGAAAGUUUGCGGCUCAACCGUAAAAUUGCAGUUGAAACGGGCAGUCUUGAGUACAGUAGAGGUGGGCGGAAUUCGUGGUGUAGCGGUGAAAUGCUUAGAUAUCACGAAGAACUCUGAUUGCGAAGGCAGCUCACUGGACUGCAACUGACACUGAGGCUCGAAAGUGUGGGUAUCAAACAGGAUUAGAUACCCGGGUAGUC